RNAcentral lists this ribosomal RNA (266 nucleotides) under uncultured bacterium. Its description in RNAcentral is "partial 16S ribosomal RNA". It matches the Rfam family "Bacterial small subunit ribosomal RNA", at positions 1229 to 1500 of the family's 1533-position model. The record is from RNAcentral.
AAUGGCAGGUACAGAGGGGUGCUACCGGGUGACCGGAUGCCGAUCUCGAAAACCUGUCCCAGUUCGGACUGGAGUCUGCAACCCGACUCCACGAAGUUGGAUUCGCUAGUAAUCGCGCAUCAGCCAUGGCGCGGUGAAUACGUUCCCGGGCCUUGUACACACCGCCCGUCAAGCCAUGGGAGCCGGGGGGCGCCUGAAGUCCGGGACCGCGAGGACCCGGCCUAGGGGCGAAACUGGUGACUGGGGCUAAGUCGUAACAAGGUAAC